This 253-nucleotide ribosomal RNA is filed under the name uncultured bacterium. Its description in RNAcentral is "partial 16S ribosomal RNA". It matches the Rfam family "Bacterial small subunit ribosomal RNA", at positions 524 to 776 of the family's 1533-position model. The record is from RNAcentral.
UACGUAGGGGGCGAGCGUUGUCCGGAUUCAUUGGGCGUAAAGAGCUCGUAGGCGGUUCAUCGCGUCGAAUGUGAAAUCCCGGGGCUCAACUCCGGGCCUGCAUUCGAUACGGGUGGGCUAGAGUUCGGUAGGGGAGACUGGAAUUCCUGGUGUAGCGGUGAAAUGCGCAGAUAUCAGGAGGAACACCGGUGGCGAAGGCGGGUCUCUGGGCCGAUACUGACGCUGAGGAGCGAAAGCGUGGGGAGCGAACAGG